RNAcentral lists this ribosomal RNA (488 nucleotides) under uncultured bacterium. RNAcentral's name for it is "partial 16S ribosomal RNA". It matches the Rfam family "Bacterial small subunit ribosomal RNA", at positions 28 to 507 of the family's 1533-position model. The record is from RNAcentral.
GACGAACGCUGGCGGCGUGCUUAACACAUGCAAGUCGAACGCGCCUGUCCUCUGGGUUUCUGGGGGGUGGGUGAGUGGCGAACGGGUGAGUAACACGUGAGUAACCUGCCCCCUUCUUCGGGAUAACGGUCUGAAAGGGCUGCUAAUACCGGGUAUUCACUGGUCUCCGCAUGGGGUCUGGUGGAAAGGUUUUUUUCUGGUAGGGGAUGGGCUCGCGGCCUAUCAGCUUGUUGGUGGGGUGAUGGCCCACCAAGGCUUUGACGGGUAGCCGGCCUGAGAGGGUGACCGGUCACAUUGGGACUGAGAUACGGCCCAGACUCCUACGGGAGGCAGCAGUGGGGAAUAUUGCACAAUGGGCGCAAGCCUGAUGCAGCGACGCCGCGUGAGGGAUGGAGGCCUUCGGGUUGUGAACCUCUUUCGCCCGUGGUCAAGCCGCGACGUGGGUCGUGGUGAGGGUAGUGGGUAAAGAAGCGCCGGCUAACUACGUG